Ceratitis capitata (Mediterranean fruit fly) is the source of this 950-nucleotide long non-coding RNA. RefSeq lists it as uncharacterized. Lineage: Eukaryota; Metazoa; Arthropoda; Insecta; Diptera; Tephritidae. The record is from RefSeq and is a predicted model, not a curated record. The transcript is spliced from 3 exons.
UGUUUACAUUUCUGAGUACUUAAGCUGAGAUUUGUAAGAGAAAACGUCAGAUUUGACAAUUGGUUAGAGCUCCAAAUAUAACAGGAAAGCAUAAAAUCCACUUGUGCUCAAUCAGAGUCAAAGCUUUUCCAUUCCCUCUCUCUUUCUCUCUCGCUUUCCACACUUUUCCGUUCAACCAAGACAUAUUCUCUUCAAAAAUACCUCAGCCUGGGCUACCAUUAGCGGUUAUGCACUUUUCUCUGGGCACCACAUUCUAGUCGCGUAUUAGUUCUUUCAGUGAAGAGUUUAAUCUAAAAGCAGACGUUCGACACAGUCCGAUUCAUAUCAUAAAGACCUUAGUAGUAUAAGUAGUGUGUGGUCCGUUGAAUUGACCACCGACCACCAUCGUAAUGUGUCUGUGUGUUUGUGUGGCAAAAGGUUUUGCACUUAAACACUACCACGACCUGAAGACAUUACACCGCAUAUAGUAUACAAUCAGGUCGCAACGAGGGAAUUGACUAAAAUGGAACACAAAUGAAAAAGUUGUGUUAAAUAAAUAAUGGAAAAAGAAGAUCAAAAUUUGAUUUGAAAUUAACCAAAAAUUGACGUAAAACUCUGAGUUACGUAAUAAAAGCAAAAAAAAAAAAAAUCAAAAAAAUAGUGCAUAAAAAGUAUUAAAAUUGCUAGUGCAAUAUUAAAAACAAUCACACAACACACACAAAUUCAUUAAAAAAACAAACACGCAUUAAUAAUAUAUGUGCGCUGAAAGAAACAAUGAGAAUUGCUAUCAUAUAUCAAAAGCAGCUGCGAAAGCGCUCACAAAAAUAACAAAAAAAAAAAAUUAGACUACAAGCAGCAGCGACAGUGUUGCAGUGAACGAAAAUAAAUUGGUGUUUGUAGUAGUAAUAAAAGAACCUCAACAACAUGCCACUAUAUGCAUACACUCAUCUAUAUAAGUUGAAACAACAAGC